RNAcentral lists this ribosomal RNA (245 nucleotides) under uncultured bacterium. RNAcentral describes it as "partial small subunit ribosomal RNA". It matches the Rfam family "Bacterial small subunit ribosomal RNA", at positions 26 to 285 of the family's 1533-position model. The record is from RNAcentral.
AGAAUCAACGCUGGCGGCGUGCCUAACACAUGCAAGUCGCACGAGAAAGGGGCUUCGGCCCUGAGUAAAGUGGCGCACGGGUGAGUAACACGUGAAUAAUCUACCUCCGAGUGGGGAAUAACUGAGAGAAAUCUUAGCUAAUACCGCAUAAUACUUACGAGUCAAAGCAGCAAUGCGCUUGGAGAGGAGUUCGCGGCCGAUUAGUUAGUUGGCGGGGUAAUGGCCCACCAAGACGAUGAUCGGUA